CAGCCGCCACGGUAAUACGAAGGGGGCUAGCGUUGUUCGGAAUUACUGGGCGUAAAGGGCGCGUAGGCGGCCAUUCAAGUUAGAUGUGAAAGCCCUGGGCUCAACCUAGGAAUUGCAUUUGAUACUGUUUGGCUUGAGUUCGGGAGAGGUGAGUGGAAUUCCCAGUGUAGAGGUGAAAUUCGUAGAUAUUGGGAAGAACACCAGUGGCGAAGGCGGCUCACUGGACCGACACUGACGCUGAGGCGCGAAAGCGUGUGGAGCAAACAGGAUUAGAUACCCCAGUAGUCCCUGUCUCUUAUAA
Molecule: ribosomal RNA, 301 nt
Filed under: uncultured bacterium
Lineage: Bacteria
Description: partial 16S ribosomal RNA
Rfam family: Bacterial small subunit ribosomal RNA
Source: RNAcentral